UACGUAGGCAGCGAGCGUUGUUCGGAAUUACUGGGCGUAAAGAGUGUGUAGGCGGUGCUCUAAGUUCGGUGUGAAAUCUCCUGGCUUAACUGGGAGGGUGCGCCGGAAACUGGAGUGCUCGAGCGUGGGAGAGGAAAGCGGAAUUCCUGGUGUAGCGGUGAAAUGCGUAGAUAUCAGGAGGAACACCUGUGGUGAAGACAGCUUUCUGGACCAGUGCUGACGCUGAGACACGAAAGCGUGGGUAGCAAACAGG
RNAcentral lists this ribosomal RNA (253 nucleotides) under uncultured bacterium. RNAcentral's name for it is "partial 16S ribosomal RNA". It matches the Rfam family "Bacterial small subunit ribosomal RNA", at positions 524 to 776 of the family's 1533-position model. The record is from RNAcentral.